RNAcentral lists this non-coding RNA (36 nucleotides) under unclassified sequences. RNAcentral describes it as "DUF805b RNA". It matches the Rfam family "DUF805b RNA". Rfam says of the family: Bacteroidetes, Chlorobi (1 example), Proteobacteria. Lineage (Flavobacteria) The record is from RNAcentral.
AUGGACAAAGCCGAAAAUCCAAUAAAAGAGUAGGCA